GGCCUUGCACGCUCCGGGUGGUCCUGGAGGUCUGGCUUCAAACCAGAUUGGCUCGACAAGGGCCAGGGGUUCGAUUCCCUUGCGAGGCCGCCA
RNAcentral lists this transfer RNA (93 nucleotides) under Promethearchaeota archaeon. RNAcentral describes it as "Candidatus Lokiarchaeota archaeon (anaerobic digester metagenome) tRNA-Sec". It matches the Rfam family "Selenocysteine transfer RNA". The record is from RNAcentral. Lineage: Archaea; Promethearchaeati; Promethearchaeota.